RNAcentral lists this non-coding RNA (24 nucleotides) under Cricetulus griseus (Chinese hamster). Lineage: Eukaryota; Metazoa; Chordata; Mammalia; Rodentia; Cricetidae. The record is from RNAcentral.
GUUGUAAAAGGUUCACUUGUUGGG